AUUGAACGCUGGCGGCAGGCCUAACACAUGCAAGUCGAGCGGAUGACGGGAGCUUGCUCCUUGAUUCAGCGGCGGACGGGUGAGUAAUGCCUAGGAAUCUGCCUGGUAGUGGGGGACAACGUUUCGAAAGGAACGCUAAUACCGCAUACGUCCUACGGGAGAAAGCAGGGGACCUUCGGGCCUUGCGCUAUCAGAUGAGCCUAGGUCGGAUUAGCUAGUAGGUGAGGUAAUGGCUCACCUAGGCGACGAUCCGUAACUGGUCUGAGAGGAUGAUCAGUCACACUGGAACUGAGACACGGACAAGACUCCGACGGGAGGCAGCAGUGGGGAAUAUUGGACAAUGGGCGAAAGCCUGAUCCAGCCAUGCCGCGUGUGUGAAGAAGGUCUUCGGAUUGUAAAGCACUUUAAGUUGGGAGGAAGGGCAGUAAGUUAAUACCUUGCUGUUUUGACGUUACCGGCAGAAUAAGCACCGGCUAACUCUGUGCCAGCCGCCGCCGUAA
RNAcentral lists this ribosomal RNA (500 nucleotides) under uncultured bacterium. RNAcentral's name for it is "partial 16S ribosomal RNA". It matches the Rfam family "Bacterial small subunit ribosomal RNA", at positions 30 to 523 of the family's 1533-position model. The record is from RNAcentral.